UGAGGGAUAUUGCACAAUGGGCGCAAGCCUGAUGCAGCGACGCCGCGUGGGUGAUGACGGUUUUCGGACUGUAAAACCCUUUUCUAGGUGACGAGAACGGACGGUAGCCUAGGAAUAAGUGUCGGCUAACUACGUGCCAGCAGCCGCGGUAAAACGUAGGACACGAGCGUUAUCCGGAGUUACUGGGCGUAAAGGGCGUGCAGGCGGUCACAUAAGUCUGAUGUGAAAGCGCCCGGCUUAACCGGGCGAGGACAUUGGAGACUGUGUAACUAGAGGCAGAUAGAGGGGUGUAGAAUUCCGGGUGUAGUGGUGAAAUGCGUAGAGAUCCGGAGGAAUACCAGAGGCGAAGGCGGCACCCUGGGUCUGACCUGACGCUGAGACGCGACAGCAUGGGGAGCGAA
Molecule: ribosomal RNA, 401 nt
Filed under: uncultured bacterium
Lineage: Bacteria
Description: bacterial SSU rRNA
Rfam family: Bacterial small subunit ribosomal RNA
Source: RNAcentral